RNAcentral lists this ribosomal RNA (253 nucleotides) under uncultured bacterium. Its description in RNAcentral is "partial 16S ribosomal RNA". It matches the Rfam family "Bacterial small subunit ribosomal RNA", at positions 524 to 776 of the family's 1533-position model. The record is from RNAcentral.
UACGGGGGGGGCAAGCGUUGUUCGGAAUUACUGGGCGUAAAGGGCUCGUAGGCGGCCAACUAAGUCGGAUGUGAAAUCCCCAGGCUCAACCUGGGAACUGCAUCCGAUACUGGAUGGCUUGAAUUCGGGAGAGGGAUGCAGAAUUCCAGGUGUAGCGGUGAAAUGCGUAGAUAUCUGGAGGAACACCGGUGGCGAAGGCGGCUCACUGGGCCGGACCUGACGCUGAGGCGCGAAAGCGUGGGGAGCGAUCCGG